Molecule: long non-coding RNA, 225 nt
Filed under: Lathyrus oleraceus (garden pea)
Lineage: Eukaryota; Viridiplantae; Streptophyta; Magnoliopsida; Fabales; Fabaceae
Description: Pisum sativum (pea) long non-coding RNA (PSAT_LNC030315)
Source: RNAcentral
UUUUAUGGUUAAUCAAAUUGUUAUUAUUAAUUGUUAUUAUUUGAAUAUAUAUUUGCAAAUGAGACUUCAUAUUUUCCUUGAAAUUAAAAAAAAACAAUAAAAAAAGAUUGCAUUUCAUGCAUCAUUUGUAUAACAGGUUUCUUCCGCCAGAUGUCUUAUCAUUUAUUCUUAUGUGCAUCAACAAAGCUGACUCACCACUACAACACUCGUGCUAAUCGGCUGAAG